AGGGUUUGAUCAUGGCUCAGAACGAACGCUGGCGGCAUGCCUAACACAUGCAAGUCGAACGAGACCUUCGGGUCUAGUGGCGCACGGGUGCGUAACGCGUGGGAAUCUGCCCUUGGGUUCGGGAUAACAGUUGGAAACGACUGCUAAUACCGGAUGAUGACUUCGGUCCAAAGAUUUAUCGCCCAGGGAUGAGCCCGCGUCGGAUUAGCUAGUUGGUGAGGUAAAGGCUCACCAAGGCGACGAUCCGUAGCUGGUCUGAGAGGAUGAUCAGCCACACUGGGACUGAGGCACGGCCCAGACUCCUACGGGAGGCAGCAGUGGGGAAUAUUGGACAAUGGGCGAAAGCCUGAUCCAGCAAUGCCGCGUGAGUGAUGAAGGCCUUAGGGUUGUAAAGCUCUUUUACCCGGGAUGAUAAUGACAGUACCGGGAGAAUAAGCCCCGGCUAACUCCGUGCCAGCAGCCGCGGUAAUACGGAGGGGGCUAGCGUUGUUCGGAAUUACUGGGCGUAAAGCGCACGUAGGCGGCUUUGUAAGUUAGAGGUGAAAGCCCGGAGCUCAACUCCGGAACUGCCUUUAAGACUGCAUCGCUAGAACGUCGGAGAGGUAAGUGGAAUUCCGAGUGUAGAGGUGAAAUUCGUAGAUAUUCGGAAGAACACCAGUGGCGAAGGCGACUUACUGGACGACUGUUGACGCUGAGUGCGAAAGCGUGGGGAGCAAACAGGAUUAGAUACCCUGGUAGUCCACGCCGUAAC
RNAcentral lists this ribosomal RNA (751 nucleotides) under uncultured Alphaproteobacteria bacterium. RNAcentral's name for it is "bacterial SSU rRNA". It matches the Rfam family "Bacterial small subunit ribosomal RNA", at positions 8 to 806 of the family's 1533-position model. The record is from RNAcentral. Lineage: Bacteria; Pseudomonadati; Pseudomonadota; Alphaproteobacteria.